RNAcentral lists this long non-coding RNA (17354 nucleotides) under Musa acuminata (dwarf banana). RNAcentral's name for it is "long non-coding RNA (MACU_LNC004250)". Lineage: Eukaryota; Viridiplantae; Streptophyta; Magnoliopsida; Zingiberales; Musaceae. The record is from RNAcentral.
AUAAAACCGCCUAACAUGGCAUGGCAGAAGCCACCACCUGUAAGAAGGCCAUGAAGAUGGGAGUCUAGUUGCCUUUUCUUUUUCAGUCUCCGGUAUGUUUCUUUUUCUCAUUUUUAUUUUCUUAUAGAGUAAAAGACAUCAGAAGCACACUUAAAUGCUUUUGAUUUGCUAUUUCCCUGUUGCAUUAGCACAUAUGCUCAUCAUGUCAAGUAGUUCUUUAGCUUUGUUAAAUGCUUAAACAGUUUGCAUUCCAGUUUUGACAUGUUCCUUAAUUAUUCUUGAAGUUUCAGGUUUUGGCAUCAAUAGUUGUAGAAUGGCCGAUUGUUGCAGAUGUUGAGCAAAGUUGGUUUUCUGAGCAUAUAAUUCAUGCAGAUGUUUCUGAUUCUAUACCAACCAGGUUCAUCUAAUCAGUUGGUGUAUUCACCUGAAGUAACGAAAAGCAUUCAAUUCUAUCUGUAGUCUGAUUGAUCUUUACCUAGUAGCCACUUUGACAAUGUUACUUGGAUAAGUCUUCAAGAGAAUGAUUGCCGGUAGAAACCCCGAUGGCCCAACUUUUCUUUGUUUGUAAAUGCAAUUUUCUAAUGACUAUUUACGGCGAUGGAAUUUACUUGAUGGUGAAAAGAAACUCUUGCCAUGAAUUAUACCAAAUGAUGCAGUCAAUUGAAGAAAGGAUCAGAAGUUUUCGUAUUCUUGCUUAGAACUCUUUUCACUUAUAGAUAUGCAUGCAAUCACUAUCAUACCGUGUUUCUCUUCACAAGAAAGCUAAAAGCUGACAGGUGUGGAGCAGAUUGGAAAUAAUUUGUAUUGGUCUAGCCGGCUUUUACUGGUGGUUUGCACUUCAAUUAGAAGAUUGGAAGUGUUAGAAAAAGGUUUCUGAGAAUACGAUUUAGGAUAAUGUGUAAAGAAUUUGUUGGGAUCAUCAAGAUUCAAGGUUUGUACCAUCCACAUGGAACUUAACUUGUUUCACUCCUUUUUGCUUGUCGAUUUUUUUUUGGGAUUUAGACUAAUAUUCUCUGAAGAGUACUUCCCAAUCCAACAGGCACUUGCAUAUGAGCCAUGACCGACGUUUGGCUGUGAUCUGGUAAGUCUUAUCAAGCCUCUCGUUCCGUUGCCAACUUUUAAUCUCUUCGGUCGAACAACGAGGAUGGCGGAUAAAAAUAGCAGCCCCGAACAAAAAUCCACAGGGAAAUGGAGCGGAUGGUGGUUGGAGAAGGAUGAAGCUGACGCCUGUCACCCCAUCUCCUCCUCUUCCUCUUCCGACAACGCCUUCCCUCUCCUAACGAGAAGAAGAGUAGUCGUUCUUCAAUUUUCGUGGCUAUAAUCCAAUUCUUCUUUUAGCUGUCCACCUUCUCAGACCUGUUCAUUGUUUUCGUGAUCAUUUGCUGGUCCUCAAGUAAGAAACCACGUUAAACAUGUAGAAUUCGAGAUAUGUGAAGAUUUCGACGUUAAUUUUCGUUAGAUUUUUUUUUUCUCUGUGAAGAGAAAAAAAAUUGUCUUUUUGUUCUCAUGGCGUUCUGUAAUCUGCAGGUUUGACGUAGACGGGACGGGCGAUUACGAGGAGGGUGGAGUCUUCUGCAGCUCGCACUCCAUCCUCGCGAAAUGGCAUCGUCCCCUGUGGCUGCUCCGCCACCCGACGCCUCGUCUACGCCCUCUCCUCCCGCCCCUGACGCGCCCCCUCCCUCCGACCCUUCGUCCUCAGCACCUCCGCCCACGUCAUCCCCUCCGCCAGCUACGUCGUUACCACCGCCACCGGUCCAGUCUCCGCCUCCGUCAUCGCUGCCGCCCCAAUCUCCACCGCCGUCAUUACCGCUGCCACAGUCUCCGCCUCCGUCACCGUCGUUGCCCCAGUCUCCGCCGCCGUCACCGCCUCCGUCACCGCCGUUGCCCCAGUCUCCGCCGCCGUCACCGCCUCCGUCACAGCCGCUGCUCCAGUCUCCGCCUCCGUUAUCGCCACCUUCAUCGACACCUCCCACGACCACCCCGAACGCGCCACCUCCUCGGAACUCUCCGCCUCCCCCCUCGUCCUCCUCUUCCCCAAAACCACCCUCCUCUACGUCGUCUCCACCUUCAUCCACUCCACCGUCACUACCAAGCUCGUCCUCUUCUUCGCCUCCACCACCCAAGUCGAACGACGCGACGUCGCUACCGCUGCAGCCACCAUCACCACCUCAGCCAAUCUCACCGACGACCCCUUCUUCUUCAGCAGCACUGUUACCGCCACCCCCAAGAAGCCCCUCAAAGUCGGUGCCUUCGCACGGUGCAAGACCUUCGCCGAGCAAGGAUUCCAGCACACCUUCGAAGAGUGAUCACUCCGGCUUGAAUCUGCCCCUCGUAUUGGGGUUCACCGCAGGUGUCGGGAUCUUCGUCGUGUUGAUGAUUAUAGCACUGGUGCUGUACGCUAGGAACAAAAAGAAGCCGCAUCAAUACUAUGAUGCUGCAGGCUCACAAGGUAAUCUCAAACUCACUUUGCUUCAUGAUGGCAAUCCGUCGAUCCUUUCUACAAACCUGUGAUGCUUGUUCGAUAUGGCGUAGGUGGCUUCUACAAUGCCGGAUCGCUUCCGAACUGGCAAAAUGGAGCCCAGAGGAAGGAUCACAAUGGCAACAUCCCCCCACCUCCAGGAGUAGUAGUCCCACCUGGAGGUGGAUGGCAGGCAUCAUCGAUGAUGUCCAACAGCGAUAUAAGCUCAGCGUACUCCGGCCCCCAUGUUUCUUCGCCAUCGACCCCUUCACCUAACAUUUCCUUGGGCUUUAACAAGAACCACUUCAGCUACGAGGAGCUAUCAGCAGCUACAAAUGGAUUCAGUCGAGAUCACAUCCUGGGGCAAGGUGGAUUUGGUUGCGUGUACAAAGGUGUGCUCCCUAACGGGAAGGAGGUUGCCGUGAAGCAGCUCAAGUCGGGAAGUGGGCAAGGGGAGAGGGAGUUCCAAGCUGAGGUCGAAAUCAUCAGCAGAGUCCACCAUCGCCACUUAGUAUCUCUUGUUGGAUACUGCAUCGCUGGAUCUCAGAGGAUGCUUGUCUAUGAUUUUGUACGCAACAAGACCCUCGAGUUCCACCUUCAUGGUAAUGCCUGUUUCUGCUGGUCCUCAUUUCUCAUGAACAGAUCAAAUAAAUCAUCAGGAAGAACUCCUAAGAAUCAAAUCAUAUUUACUGUUUCAUUGUGUUUUGAAUUUGAUCCAAUGAAUUGCUUUCUUCAUUUGCAGGGAAAGGUCUUCCAACAAUGGAUUGGCCUACACGACUCAAGAUCGCCAUCGGAUCAGCUAAAGGCCUUUCUUACUUGCAUGAAGACUGUGAGUACAAACAUGUUCUUCCUCUCACAAGAAUUCAUCAUUUGUUCCUACUUCUGCAUCUCAAUGUGCAAUCUUUGUGUAGGCCAUCCUCGGAUUAUCCACCGUGACAUAAAAACUGCAAACAUUCUCCUGGAUAAUAAUUUUGAGGCCAUGGUAGGAUGUCCUUCACAAACAUUUUGCACUGUGAAUGAACCAGAAUUUGACCGUCGAUUUCACUUCUUAUUUAGGUUGCAGACUUUGGAUUGGCCAAAAUUUUUUCUGAUACAAACACGCACGUCUCAACUAGAAUCAUGGGAACCAUUGGGUAACAUAUUUCAUGGACUAACUCUACUGCCUGUCUUUAGAAGAUAGAUAGAUGUGAUGUUCUUGAAUUUGUGUAGGUACUUGGCUCCUGAGUAUGCAUCAACCGGGAAGCUAACCGAGAAAUCCGAUGUUUUCUCCUACGGUGUGAUGCUUCUGGAGCUGAUAACAGGACGGAGGCCUAUCGACGAUUCAGACACAUUCAUGGUGGAUAGCUUGGUCGAUUGGGUCAGUGUGCCACUUCAAACACCAUCUUCUGUAUCAAAGCGUUGGUUGGUUCUCAGAUAUAUGCUUUGUCGGAACAGGCACGACCUCUCUUAGCCCAGGCAUUGGCUGAUGACAAAUUUGAUGAGCUUGCUGAUCCGCGCUUGGAGAACAGCUAUGACACUGUGGAAAUGGUACGAAUGGUGGCAUGUGCUGCUGCUUGUGUUCGACAUUCUGCCAAGGGGCGACCUAUGAUGAGCCAGGUAAAAUGUGUUCGCAUCUCCAUCUUUCUUCCUCGCAUUGUUUCCAGGCUCAACUGGGAACCAACGAUUGAUUAAUCUGAUACAGAUCGUUCGAGCAUUGGACGGGGAUGUCUCACUAGAAAUCCUGAACGAGGGGUCAAAGCGUGGACAGAGCACAACCUUCAGCUCCAGCUCAGACUACGACGCCAGCUUAUACUCCUCCAACAUGAAGCACUUCAGAACAGUUGCGCUCGAAAGCAACGAUUACAGCAAUGGGUACAGCGGAGCAACCAGUGAGUACGGGCUUAACCCAUCGGAGACGAGCAGCUCUGGCGACGUAAUCUCCCCGGACAGUCCAAAAAAGCACUCUUAUCAUCGUCUUUGAACACCAAGAGAACAUUAUAGAACAAGAUCUACUAAUGGAGAGACGAGUCUCUCUCAUCAGUUGCGUCAGAUGUAUUAUAGUCCUGUGUUGUUUAAUCAUUUGGUCAGUGUCUAACGAUGUAUCUAUAAUCUGAUAUGUGUUCUAAUGCUGUUACUAGCAGCUUGAUUUAUUGGAGGACUAAUUCUAACCUCUCCGGUUAUCUAUUUAUUCGGAUCGUGGACGAAGGAAUCCCUCGUGGAUUUCCACCUGGCUGUCAUCCGACCCGUUAAGGCCAGUGAAUCAAAAAUAUCGAAUCCAAUUUAUCUAGUUUUCCGGAUCAAGAACGAACGGAGCUGUCUUGGAUCCGACCCGUUAACGAGGCUCAUAAAAGCAAUCGCCCCUCUCGCGCUCUCGCGCACCUGUCCGGAGCGCUCGUCGACGGAGCCAUCGCUGCUGCUUCUGUCUCGGUUUCCUCCUCCUCUUCCUACUCCAAAUCCCAUCCUACUUGCCUCUCUCGGUUGGUCUUAUUAAAUCCCGCCACCUGGGAUGAUGGCUCGGCCCUACGUCGUGAAGAAGGACGACGAUCAUGACGAUGAAGGUUCGUUUCUAACCCUACGAUUCCUGUGCUUUUAGACCGAUCUUUGCAUUCCGAUUGUUUCUGUAGGAGAUCCCUAUUUCGUUUUUCCGUCAUUGUGCUCAAAUUCCAGGUAUUUUUUAUUCUUUUCUUGGUUGUAGUAUUGAUGUAUUGGAAUGAGAGUUUUCGAGACAGAUAGGCGCCGGUAGAUGACGGAUUGGUUUGUUGAAUAUUUCUUUUAAUUUAAUUCAAUUUGGAUCAAGAACUCGGUCUUCUUCGUGUUGAAGUGAUAGAAAUGUCUACCCUUUUGUUAUUGCACGUAAUGCAGCAAGUUUUGGGUAUUCAGAUUUAGAAGGAAAAUAUCCUGGAAAAGAGAAUUUAAUUUUUAGCUUAACUGUCUGGUUCUUGCAGCGGAGUACUCUCCAUUUCUAGGUUUAGAGAAGGGCACAGUUCUCCAGGAGGCCAGAGUUUUCAAUGACCCCCAACUUGAUGCCAGGAGAUGCGCUCAGGUUACUGAGAACAACCUAGAUUUAGUGCUAUGUCAUAAUUUAAUUUUCAUUAGUAUUGUAAUGUCACUAAUUCGGUUGUUGUUUUAUUUGGAAAUUAUAGGUUAUAACAAAACUCCUAUAUUUGCUUAAUCAAGGGGAAGCUUUUACAAAGGUUAGCCUGAGAUCAGUGCUGUUUGUUUUAUCUUCAAUUUGCGCAUUUGUCAUAUUUUACGUAUCAUGUUUUUCUUUUCAUUUUAUAGGUGGAGGCCACAGAAGUUUUCUUUGCUGUAACAAAAUUAUUCCAGUCCAAGGAUACAACACUAAGGAGAAUGGUUUAUUUGAUAAUUAAAGAGCUUUCACCCUCCGCUGACGAGGUAUAGAUGCCAGUUUUCUCUAGCCAGAGUGUUUCAGAUUCAUAUUAGUUUUUGCCUGGAACCUGAGUUCUUGAAUUGCUUGUCAUAGGUCAUUAUCGUCACAAGUUCUUUGAUGAAAGAUAUGAAUAGUAAGAUUGACAUGUAUAGGGCCAAUGCAAUUCGUGUUCUUAGUAAAAUUACUGAUGGUACUCUUCUUAUGCAAAUUGAAAGAUAUUUGAAGCAAGCAAUUGUUGACAAAAACCCUGUUGUUGCCAGCGCUGCACUUGUCAGUGGCAUUCACUUACUGCAGGUACAUACAUCACUCUCAGUCAUGUGGCAAUGGUUUAGUAUCUUAUCUUAUCUUAUAUCUUAAUUUACACUUCAAAUUCUAACAGACAAAUCCAGAAAUAGUUAAAAGAUGGAGCAAUGAGGUACAAGAAGGUGUUCAGUCCAGGGCUGCUCUUGUUCAAUUUCAUGCACUUGCUCUUCUUCACCAGGUGCAUCAUCAUAUCUUAUGUUUGAUUAAUUAUCUCUUAAAAAUGAAACCUGGAAGUGUGAAUUUGCUAACGCUGUAGGAGAACUUGAAUGGCAUGAAAAAUGUUAUCUCUGCAUAUUUGAGUUUGAAUUAUGCCCAUUUCCAUCACCUAUUUUCAGAAGUGGAAUAUUCGUGCGCAAAAUUAUCUUGUUUUCAUAUCCUAGGAUAGAUAUGACAAUCAUGGUUGGAUUAAUAGGCCUUGUUCAAUUGUUAGCUUAGCACAAACCAGGGUCUGUCGUACCGAACCGUACCGUCCGGUACGUACCGGUCCGAUAGGUUGUCGGUACGCGGACCUCCUGGGACCAGUCCGAGUGCACUGUAGCACUGUAGCAGUGCUACAGUACUCGGCACACCUAGGUGUACCGCUCGGUACACCGUACCAUACCGGUACCGAGCCCAGGUCGAAAUACCGGUAUGGUACGGUAUUACGAACCUUGGCACAAACUAUAAGGAAUAUCGCCAGGAGGACCAAUCAAUUAAAUGAAGGUGGAGAGAUUUGUACAUAGUUAAUAAAGAGUAUAAAUAACACUCAACAGACAUUUAAACAUAAUUUAGCCAGCCCAGCAAGAAAACAUUUGUUUUUUCAUAUCAUUAUGUUGUUGAAAACCUAGAAUUUUGUAUUGAUGAUUGUUUUGUUUUACUUGCAGAUAAGACAAAAUGACCGCUUGGCUGUAAGCAAGCUUGUUACUAGCUUGACAAGAGGAUCAGUUCGAUCACCUUUAGCCCAGUGCCUUCUAAUAAGAUACACAAGCCAGGUACUUUUUGGAUUGUGACAGUUUGAGCAAAGAAAAUUACAAGAAAUUAAACCCAUCUUUUCAGGUAAUUCAUGAGUCAAGCAUGAACUCACAAACAGGAGAGCGUCCGUUUUUUGAUUACCUUGAAUCCUGUCUGCGACAUAAAGCAGAAUUGGUCAUCUUUGAAGCUGCAAGAGCAAUUACAGAGCUGAGUAGCGUGACCAGUCGAGAGUUGUCACCUGCAAUCACUGUUCUACAGUUAUUUCUUAGUUCAUCCAAGCCAAUUCUUCGUUUUGCAGCUGUUCGAACUUUAAAUAAGGUCGUUCAUUAUUUUGACAUAGUAACCAAUUAAUCUUAUUCUGUCAUACCAUACCCGAUACAAGCUUUGCGAAGAUCAUCAUCGUGGCUGUUUGUCUGCUAAAUGUCUUAAAGCAAGACUUUAAUUUCAGGAUUACUGACUAACAAUAUCCUUUUUUUUUUCUUUUAUUCAUAACUAUUACAAAGUGUAAUUUGCAUGCCCUGCAAAAGCUUAUGUUAUCUGAAAACUUUGGAUAAAAAGAAAACAAAUCUGGUAUACCUUCAACUAUGAUAUAUAUCUUAUAUGACAAUCUAAAGCCCUUUUUUUUAUCUUCCACUCCUGUGUUUUCACUUUUAGCUCUGGUUCUGACCACUUUAACUGAAGUGAAACAAUGUUUUAGAUUUCUAAUUCUUAGGCAUGCAAUAGAGUGGAAGAACUUGAUAUAAGAUCUCGGAGUACCGUAAAAAUACAUGGUUUGUGUUAUUCUUUAUUGGCUCUCUGACUAUUUCAUUUUUCAUGUAAUCCAAGCACAUUUACUUCAGUUAACUGAAAAAAAUGAGGAUGACUCUGUGCACUAGACUCUCGCCAAUGCAAGGUCAGGGACGGAUUAAUGCAUGCAAUAUUUCCAUUAGAAAUUGAGAGACUAUUUUCUUGAGAGACAUACAAUCGUAAUUUUCAGAAAUCAUGGUGGUAAACUUCCAUUAACAUGUGGUACACCAAGACAAUGUGCUAUAUAAUAUGAUAUUAUCAUCCUUCAUGCAUUUCUUGUAGUGGUCAAUUACUCCUUUCUUUUUUCUCUAUUAUAUUUCUAGUAUCAAUUAUGUGUGAACGUAACUAGGUUGAGUACUUUCAUAUACUGUUUUUAAAAGCACUAGGCACUAGGCACCAAGGUCCCAAAACGAAUGAGAUGCUAGGUGCUCGCCUGAGUGAAGUGAGGCACUCUAGAAUAUUAAAAUAUAAAAAAUAUAUGUGGAGGAAGGUGGGGGAAGGAGAAUAGGAGUAACCGCCGGCUAGGCUAUGGAAGAAGGUGGGGAAGGAGAAGGUGGUAGAGGAAGUUGUAGAUGAAGGCAAUAGUGGGGGAGGAAGCUACGAACGAAGGUGGUAACAGAGGAAGUUGCGGACGAAGCUGGCAUCAGUGGAGAUAGCUGCGGACAAAAGCAUUGGUGACAGAGGAAGUUUUAGACAAAGGUGGCGGCGGCGGAGGGAGUUGUGGAUGAAGGCAGCGAUAGCCGACGUAGGGUUUCACUUCAAAGACAAGCUAGGGCUGAGUCGGGUGCAAGGGGCGGGUUUUGUGUUAGGGCACUUUGGUUGGUUAGAUUGAACCAACUUGCUUAUUUAAUCGAACCAACCUGAUCCAUUCUUCACUCGGGUGCUCGCUAGAGGCGCGCGACACCUGGGCUCAACCGAGCGCCCGUGUGGUGCUUCAUUGAAACGCCUUGCCCAGAGGUUGUGCGAGGCGCUCGAGCCUUACCUCACCUUGCCCGGGCACCUAGGCUAGUGCCCAAGCGCCUUUUAAAAACACUGCUUUCACAUUCCCAAAAUAGUUCAAUGAGAUAUAGAUGGAUAUUCUAGGAGUAACCUAAGUUGUGUUAUGAGCUUUAAUUAUUCAUAUCUCAUCAUGGUUAAUGAUCAUAAGUAUUCCUCACAGGUUGCUAUGACACAUCCUUUGUCAGUUACAAGUUGCAAUAUUGAUAUGGAAAGCUUAAUCUCAGACCAAAACAGGAGCAUUGCUACUCUUGCUAUUACUACACUACUUAAAACAGGCAACGAAUCAAGUGUGGAUCGCUUGAUGAAACAAAUAACCAAUUUUAUGUCAGAUAUUGCUGACGAGUUCAAGAUUGUUGUUGUGGAAGCUAUACGAUCCUUGUGCUUGAAGUUCCCUCUCAAGUACCGGUCAUUGUAUGUGGAGUGUGACUGCAUCAAGUUUUUAUUUAUGCAAAAUUCUUAUAUAGGUGAAUUUAAAAUUUGAUUUUUAUGCAACUAUCAUCCAGGAUGAAUUUCUUAAGCAACAUUCUUAGAGAAGAAGGGGGCUUCGAAUACAAGAAAGCAAUUGUUGAUUCAAUUGUCAUCCUUAUAAGAGAUAUACCAGAUGCUAAAGAAAGUGGUUUAUUUCACCUCUGUGAAUUUAUAGAGGAUUGUGAAUUCACCUAUCUUUCUACUCAGGUAAUUUUAUGCGUUUUCUGUUUUAGUUUUUUGAAUACUGAAUCUUGAUGAAUUUGCCAAGUUAAGAAAAUGAUCCAACAUUCUUAAUUUAUGUAUUUCUCAUGCUAUAGAGGCAGUCGACAUCAGAUUUAAAUUUUGAUUCAUUCUAUGACUAGGAGCAUGCAUAGUUUUGAGCAGCGGCUAAAGCUAUUAUUUGUGUAUUUUGGAACCUCUUGUAUCUUGAUCCUCACAAUAUUUUUCAUAUUUCACCUUCAGUUCUACAUAGUUCAUGAGCUGUAAAUGAAAAGGUGAAUGACUAGGUCUGUUUCAGUGAUUGCAAUGUUUGUUGCUUCAUUUGUUUGAAUCCAGUUACUCAUAAUUUAUAUUGAUUUCGCUAGAUACUUCACUUCAUUGGAAAUGAAGGGCCAAAGACUUCAGACCCCAGUAAAUAUAUUCGAUAUAUCUACAAUCGCGUUAUACUAGAAAAUGCAACAGUUCGAGCUAGUGCUGUAAGUACCUUGGCAAAGUUUGGAGCCAUGGUCGAUUCCUUGAAGGUACUACAUAUUUGUAGUGGUCCUAUAGGUAUUUUCUUUGGUUGAUAAUUCAUAUCUCUUGUUCGUGCUGAAUUUUGAUGAAUUACUUUUGCAGCCUCGUAUACUUGUCCUGCUCAGACGCUGCCAGUUUGAUAUUGAUGAUGAGGUAAUGAAUACAUGUUCUUAACAUGAUCAUAUAUUUUGAGAAUGCAUUGUAGGUGUGUCUUCUAUUGGGCAUGUUGAAUUUAAAUCAGUAAAGUAUCCUUGGUUCAUUCUAUCGUAAUCUUUUAGCUUUCAAUUUAUUUAUAGCUUUCUUCCUCCUGGCACCACAGUUGAUUAGGGGUUUGAGUUUGUACCAACCUAUGUUUCUAAAUAAUAUCUGUUUGAGGAACAACCUUGUCUCCAUUGGAGCAAUGUACCUGACCAUAAUGUUUAGUUAGGAUCAUGUUAAUGUUACACUGUCAGUUACAUGUUGCAGGUCUGCAAGUGUCUUAAAGAUUAAAGAGUAACCAAAUUGUUCUUUCUUGUGCCCAUGAUUUGUCCCAGGUUCGGGACCGUGCAACACUUUAUCUAGAUACUCUUGGAGGUGAUGCUUCAGUUGGUGAAACUGAAAAAUAUGUAAAAGACUUUCUUUUCGGUUCAUUAGAUGUGCCACUUGUCAACUUGGAGAAAAGCUUGCGAAGCUAUGUAUGUUCUUUAUUGCCUAGGCUGGAGUCGUAUGAUUGUCUCUUUCCAGCUCUUCUCAUAUUUACUUUUACUGUGAAUCAGGAGGCUUCAGACAUGCCUUUUGACAUUUAUUCUGUACCAAAGGAAAUUAAGUCACAGCCUCUUGCCGAGAAAAAGGCUCCUGGUAGAAAGCCUACUGGUUUAGGAGGUCCUCCUUGUGCACCUGUUUCAGCUGUUGAUGCAUAUGAAAAGUUGCUUUCAUUGAUUCCUGAAUUUUCCAGCUUUGGAAAACUCUUUAAGGUUCCUACAUGAUAUGUAUUAUAGAAGACUAACAUAAUUUUUUAUGUAUUUUCUACUAGCUUAUAUUUGUCUAUUUUUUGUCAGUCAUCUACACCUGUGGAGUUGUCAGAAGCUGAAACCGAAUAUGCAGUUAAUGUAGUUAAGCACAUCUAUGAUGGGCACGUUGUAUUUCAGUACAACUGCACAAAUACCAUACCAGAACAGCUUCUUGAAAAUGUAAUUGGCUAUGUCUCAGUAUGCUGAUCAUUUUGUAUAUUAUUAAAAUGCUUUGGAACAUCACUUGCGUUGUCUCUGUUUCUUUUACGUUGCCAGGUUACUGUUUUUGUUGAUGCUUCUGAAGCUGAGGAUUUUUCUGAGGUUGCAUCAAAGCCUUUGAGAUCCUUACCUUAUGAUUCACCAGGACAGACUUUUGUGGCUUUUGAAAAGCCAUAUGGUCUUCCCGCUACUGGAAGAUUUUCAAACUUGUUGAAGUUCUUUGUUAAAGAGGUAUGAUCAUUUUGAUGAUUUGAUUUGCUUGCAUUUGAUUUGUUGUCAUGCUUGUCUCUUGUUUGAUAUUGAGGCAAGGGGAUUUACGUGUCAUUUUCUACUCCAGAUUUAUAUAACAACAAUUGUGAUGCAGCAAACAAGAUGUGUAAAAUCUUAUCCAUUUUCUACUCCAGAUUUAUAUAGCAACAAUUGAGAAUUAUCAGUCAUCCAUUGGAAGUCCAAGCAAUAAUCGACAUGGAUGAUGCAAUAUAAUGAUUAAAAAUGUUGCAAAGAGUGCCUUUUUACGUGCGAUUUAUGUUCGACAAAUUGGUAGAAUGCAUGAAAUCAAGUGCAUGAAUGUUGUUGUGGGACAUGGCAUGUAUCAAGGUUUGGUGAAAAUAAAAAAGAUGUAUGUGUUUUUCGGGUUUCCUAACUUUUAGAAGAUGAAGAAGGAAAUAGAUAUCGGGAUUUUAAGUUUCAAAUUGUUAAAAUAGUAAAAGGCAACUUUAUUUGCCAUACAGUUACAGACCCCUUGUACAAUUUAAAGUACAUUUUAUCUUCUUAUGAGGCAUACAAAGCAUGCCUUCUGUAGGAGUGCAAUUUUACAGCUUUUAUGUUUGUUGUUUUAACAUCACAGCAUGUGCAAAAAUCCAACCGUUCUCUUGUUUGGCUGCAGGUUGAUCCAGCCACAGUGGAGGCAGAAGAAGAAGGGGUUGAAGAUGAAUACCAGCUAGAAGAUCUUGAAAUUGUCCCAGUUGAUUACAUGCUGAAGGUUGGAGUCUCCAAUUUCAAAAAUGCUUGGGAAAGUAUGGCCCCAGACAAUGAGAGGGUCGAUGAGUAUGGGCUUGGUGCUAGGGAGAGCUUGGCAGAAGCUGUGUGUUCUGUCAUAAACAUUCUAGGCAUGCAGCCUUGUGAGGUUAGUUGGUGUUUCAGCUUCUUGUAUUCUAAAUGAUUGUUAUGCCGGUAUUUUUUUUGUAUUCAGUUAAGAGUAGCUAGACAGUAGGCAUUGUUUUUUCCUGGUAGCUUCUGUUGUCUAAUAUUGAGAUCAAGCAUUACAACACCGGUCAUUUGGCUGUUGGCAGGGUACUGAGGUGGUGCCGAGCAAUUCGAGGUCACAUGCUUGCUUGUUGUCGGGAAUAUUCAUCGGUAAUGUGAAGGUGCUAGUCAGAUUGUCAUUCGGAGUCGAUGAGUCUAAGCAGGUUGCCAUGAAACUUGCAGUUAGAUCCGAAGACCCAAACAUCAGUGAGAGAAUUCAUGAAAUCGUUGCUGAAGCCUAAAUGCAAAUGUUACUGGUCUCCAAUUCUUUUUUUUCCCCCACAAUGACACAGAAUGAAGAGUAUCUCCCUACAUAUUGCUCUUUUUGUUGCUCGGUCAGCGUUCUUUUGGAAGUCAAUGCUGUAAUCUUAUGAUCUCCAAUCCUGAUCAUAUGAUUAAAUCAACUAAGCUGGAUCUUGCUGCUGGACCAGAAUAGGCUUGGAUGAGCAGUUGGUGAUGGGUUACAUUAGAUCAUGUCAUGAAUUUUUGAUGUCAAACACUCCUGAAAUGAGUGGUUUGUUCUCUCAGUUUUCAACUUGUAAAUGUGAGAAGAAAGAUUUGAAAUGACUAUUAUGACCAUGACGUGCGUAAAUGUCAAAGAGGUUUUAAGAUUUGCCAUGCUGAUAUGUGCUCGCUGCAGGUGCUCUCGGCGUAGAAGAUGCAGUACAGAAGCUUGGAAGGAAGGAGCAUAUGCAGUACAGCCUUUGCCACCAACCUUAGGUAAUGAAUUGAGUCCUACCAUUGUAUGUUAACUUGCAAGUUCCUCGGCCAACUUUAGAUUACUUACUGUCUUCCAUAUAAAUAAAAUAAAUAGCUAAUGCUGACACAUGACAAAUCCUUGAUGAGAACAAGCAGAAGCUUCGUUCACCGAGUGUCUCAUAACCUUGUCGGGGUGGAACCACAAAACCGAAGACAAAAGCGUAAGCAUGGAUGGGUUUCUGCUGUAACGCGGCUAAAACCAGAUCGAAAUUAAAUUUGAUGGUUCAUAGUGCAAUCAAUUAGAUCAUGUAAGGAUCACAUGAACGAAGACUUAGAUCUGAUACUUCAAAGUACGAUCAUAAACCAACGAAUUUGAGAUUAAAAGGCCAGAUAAUAAUAAUAAAAAAUGAUUCCAUUGCCGGGAUUUGAACCCGGGUCGCCUGGGUGAAAGCCAGGUAUCCUAACCGGACUAGACGACAAUGGAAUGUGUUAGGAUUUGAACGCAGAUAUUAUUAAUAUAUAAAUUUUAGUGUGGUCACAUACAAACAACUUUCGUGUCGAGUUGAUUGCAGGAUUUGAUCACGAGGCCUACAAAAAUAAAAUUAUGUUGUUGUGACCAACAAAUUUCUCUAUGAUGUUUAAUCUAGUACCGUUGAGAAGGGUAGUGCUGAGUUUUUAGUAUUCAGAUAUUCAAGUGAGUCAACGUAUCUAAGUUUCUUUUUAUAUGUAUAGUUGUAUGAUGAGAAAAUAUCAUUGACACUUUUAUCAGUUCGACAUAGUUUGGAUAUAUAUAUAUAUAGGAUUAUUCGAGAUGAAAAUACCAAACUCUCGAGGUACCUCCUGCAUGAAGAUUGAGGUCGGGAAAUCUCUAUAUGCAUAGGGUUAUUCGAGGUGAAAACACCAAGCUCCUGAAGUAUCUCCUGCAUGAAGAUCGAGGUGGGAAAGAUUUUUCGACCCGAUCUAACUGACGCUCAAAUUAAUAGCCCGAAGCGAAUGUGGAUACGAGUAGUAAAAAAAAGUAAACCCCCCAACUCAUCGUAUUGAAAACAAACUUUAUACAUAAUCACAAAGGGACAUAAUAUUCUGUGAAAUAUUAUAUGGGGAGGUCGCCUCUAACUACCUCCAAUAGUCUCUUCUUGGCCUUUUGGUCACUUGGGCGACAAAAGAGGAACAACCUUGGAUUGCUUGCCUUGGACUUGGUUUGGACUCUUGUCCACAUGGGUAGAUGGGUGGAAUGUGACAUGGACUACAUAUGGCAAUUACGUAUCAGAUGAUGUUUUUUUUUUUGGUAAAUUAUGUAUCAGAUAAUGAUUAGUUGAUACUGUAUUUCUUAUCAUUUGUCUCUUAUAAAGGCAUGUUUCGAGACUCUUGUAAGAGGGGUUCAAAGCACACGAGUACAUUCAGGAUCUCCUCUCGUAGGUUGGGUUUUCUUGCACCUCGAACAUAUUUUGCCUUACGCCUCCAUCGUGAUGGGUCUCACUUCACGCUAAUCGAAUUUUCUAGACUCACGCAUCGUGAGCAUAUUUUGACUUGCGUCACAGUUAUAACAAAUUUCUUCUCACAUGGAUUUUUUUAACUCACAUACCUUAGAAACAUUUUACCUUAUAACUCCAUCAUGAUAAAUUUCUUAUAAAGAUUGAAUUUUUUUAACUCAUAUGCCUCGGACAUAUUUUACUAUAUGCAUUUGUCAUGAUAGAUUUCUCCUUACGCGGGUCGGAUUUUUCUAACUCAUCUACCUUUAAUAUAUUUUUCCAAACUCCUGAUCUAAUAACUUGCUUCCUAAAUCAUUCUCAAAUAAGAUCCGUAUAUUUUCCAUGGUCAAUGGUGGUGGCGGUGGUGGUGGUGGGUGACUCCAAUUAUGUUGAGCGCUCUGUUUGGACUUUCUUCUCUAGAUGGCUUCCUUCGAAAUGCGACAAGUAAAGGUCGCGUCGUUGCUCGUCUUUCCAAGAAGUGGAGAAAGAGAGGGUGAUGUCGCUCGCUUGAUAGGACCACCUUCACCUAAACUUUAUGAAAAGAUGUCCAUGUCGAUUAGGAAUAGCAUUAGAAGUUUACCUUCAUAAAAACGUUCACAUACGACACAAUAGUGAUAGCAAAUUGGACAACCUAACCCAAUCCAUUCAUCUGAGCUUUAGCCCAACCCAAGAUGAAUUGGGUUAAACAAACCAUCAAGCCAAGAUUGGAUAUAUACACAGAGAGAGAGACAGAGAGAGAGAGAGAGGAAAGGGAGCAACAAAAGUCAUUCCAAGUCAAAACUAGUCUGAUCCCUACUCUUAGCUUAUUGUGAUCGGAGACAAUUCUGGCCCCAUUUGGUUCCCAUCGGCGAAUAUAGAGACAAAAGAUGCGUCAAAAUUUGUUGACCUUUAUUGCAGUGCUCGCCAUCCUGUUGGAUCCAAUCCACGUACCGAACAAAAUACGCUUUGCUGUAGCCAUGUGAACUGCACAGUAAGCAACGAUUACUUCUUGAGGAGGCGGAGCGGCGGAAGCUUUGUAUUACCUCGGUAGAUUUGCUUUCCUUUCUUCUUCUUUGCUUUAAUGUGGGUGUUUGCGCUACGUUAGCAGCAGCGCCAGCGUCACGUACAACAAGAGGCGACACGCCCCCAAGGCCGUACGCGAUCGGACGGCGUUGGGGAUGUAGCACUGCGCCCCCGCCUGGGUCGGCCGGCCGUCUGCGCUCCCCUGCAGCGUCGCCCCCGACUCGCACCACCCCGCCGGCUGAGUCAACCCCGUCACCCCUGCAGGCGGUGGCCCUGCAUCCGUCGACGUGCUCGCCUGUGUGGCGGAGAAACAUCGAUGAGUUGACCGUAGAAGCUUACGAGAAAAGAGAGUUCUUUGGUUACCGGCGCCGUGAUCGGGCUGGAGCUCGAGGUGGACUUGGCGAGGCCGGCGUCGUAGUUCAUGGUCUGGUCGGCGCGGUAGAGGCCGAAGGAGCGCUCCGAGGCAGGGCCGGGCUUGAGGUCCUCGUCGUAGAGCGCGAAGAUGUACGUGUCCACCGACCGCCCGGGCAUGAGCGGCGUCCCCACCAGUGACCGCAGGUGGGCCACCAGGUUCCCGUUGAAGGCCUUGGCGUUGUCCACCGAGGCACCCACCUCGUCCGGGUCCCCCUGGUACGGCCACCCCGUCUCCGCCACCACGAUCUCCACCUCCGGGAACCCUAGCGCGUCGAGCGCCGACCGCACGGCGUCCACCUGCGCGUCGAACAUGUUGGUGUACGUGAGCUUCGAACCCGCGUCGAGCCGGCCCGAGUUGGGCUGGAAGAGACAGAAGGCCAGCGUCUCCGGCCGCGGGUCGCUGCGGUAGGCGAAGAAGGGGUAGGGAUUGAUCAUGAAGGGCGACCCGGUGUCGCGCAGGAACCCGAGAAUCCCGGUGAGGUCGGCUGUGAUGUCCGGGUGGAAGGCGCCCGAGGAGGGAGGGUCCGACUGGGACAGCACGGCCAUGGUGUGGACGGUGGAGACCUUGACACCGGAGGCGGCCGCGGAGGCGGAAAGCGCGGAGCGGAGGUUCUGCAUAGCGGGAAGGAGAUUGGACGCGAGGGAGGAGUCACCCGAGUUGAGGGCCUCGUUGCCGACGGAGACGACGGAGAUGGAGGAGGCGGGAGCAUAGGGGAGGACAUUAGCGGCGACCCAAUUAGAGGCGGCGACGGGGUCGGAGGCGAGGGAGGCGAUGUCGGAGUUGGAGACGCCGAGGACGAGGGAGAUGUUAGUGCCGGCGAGGGACUGGAUGACGGCUGGGUCGGCGCCGUAGAGUCGGAACUUCGAAAUGGUGGUCGAUUGCAGCAGGCUCACGGUCUCCGAUGGCGGCGGCAGGUUGUCCGCCACCUGCCCGUAGUUCACCCCGAUGAACGACUGCGACUCUGUAAAGACUCAGCGAGGAAAUUAUGACCUGUCUCCUUUAACUUUUUCUUUUUCUUUCAGGACUCGGAAAAGGAAAAUUACUCAUUUUCUUGAAAAGAUGGAGAGAUCGUUCGAUAUAAAUUAUGGGAUUGAUUGAUGAUGGCGGCAUGUAUCGAGCACAGUUGGAAAAAUGGAAGAACCCAAUUCGACGAGACGAAGAGAUUGCAACAGUAACUCACGAAAGCAUUCAUCACCUUUAUUAUUCUCGAGAGAGAGAGAGAGAGAGAGAGAGAGAGAGAGAGAGN